Macadamia integrifolia is the source of this 503-nucleotide long non-coding RNA. RefSeq lists it as uncharacterized. The record is from RefSeq and is a predicted model, not a curated record. The transcript is spliced from 2 exons. Lineage: Eukaryota; Viridiplantae; Streptophyta; Magnoliopsida; Proteales; Proteaceae.
CACAAUCAGAAUAAGAGAAAAAAAGGGGGAAAACGAAAUCGGAGAGCUUCUCCCCGGGCCUCGGAUCUCCUAGAUCGACAGCCGGCCUUGGAUCGAGUUUCCCGUCCAUCGACAACCCUCGCGAAGAACAACCCCCAAAUCGGCCAAACGAACUGGUACUCUCUUCUCUCUCUCUGGGACGAAACGAAGCAUUUUGGGCUUGAGGAGGUGCUGCGCUGAACCGGAGCUUUGUCCAGAAAUUUCAGGGUACUUAUGACCAGUUAGCAUUUCAAGGAUUUUCAUCUCAAGCUUCAACGAAUAUGGCAAUGUCCCCUUAUAAUAGUGAUGGAUGAUCAAAUAUUGUUUAAUCUUGGAAUCCUCCAUUUUUUUUUUUUUUCUUUUUUGUUUGAAACACUUAUGGUUCAAGGAUUUAGACUUUUCUGUUUUAUGAAUAUCAUUUAUGUUUAUUUCAGAGUUACAUUCAUUGUUAUAUUGUUUAAUUAACAUGCAUGGUUUAUGCAGGU